UUUUCAGAAUUCUUCUGACAGAGAACUAAUGAAUACUUAUCAGUAUUUAUCUCUCGAAGAUAUAGAAGAAUGUAGAGAUAUACUCAAUAAUAAUAACACAUUUUGUACUGAAAUUAUAGAUGAAUUCGUAACAUUAUUAAAAAGACAUAAAAAGGUUAAUCAAAAAUUAAAACGUAAAGUUCAUCUACAAAUACUUAAUGAGCCAACGUAAAAGAUGUGGGAGAUCGUGUCAAGGGGAAAUUUAUGAUAAGAGUGGCUGACACCAAGUAGUUGGGAUUAAGGUGAGUAAAAAAAGAUAUAUUUUCAUAGUUUUUUUAAAUAAUAUGCUUGAAUAUAAAUAUUUAUCAAUUAAGUUAUUGAAUCAUUGAAAAUAUUGAAUAAUACAAUGUAAUAU
Molecule: long non-coding RNA, 394 nt
Organism: Daktulosphaira vitifoliae (grape phylloxera)
Lineage: Eukaryota; Metazoa; Arthropoda; Insecta; Hemiptera; Phylloxeridae
Exons: 4
Source: RefSeq, a predicted model, not a curated record